GAUGAACGCUGGCGGCAUGCCUAACACAUGCAAGUCGAUCGGUAAGGCUCUUCGGAGUCCACGAGAGGCGGUCGGCUGAGUAACGCGUAGGAACACACCCUGCAGUGAGGGAUAAGACACCGAAAGGUGUUCUAAUACCGCAUACGGUUUUCGGAUUAAAGCAUUUAUGCGCUGAAGGAGUGGCCUGCGUCAUAUUAGAUAGUUGGUGAGGUAAUGGCUCACCAAGUCGAUGAUGUGUAGCUGGUCUGAGAGGACGAUCAGCCAGACUGGAACUGAGACACGGUCCAGACUCCUACGGGAGGCAGCAGUGAGGAAUAUUUCACAAUGAGCGAAAGCUUGAUGGAGCAAUGCCGCGUGCAGGAUGAAGGCCCUCGGGUUGUAAACUGCUUUUAUAAGAGAAGAUUAUGACGGUAACUUAUGAAUAAGGGACGGCUAACUACGUG
RNAcentral lists this ribosomal RNA (443 nucleotides) under uncultured bacterium. Its description in RNAcentral is "partial 16S ribosomal RNA". It matches the Rfam family "Bacterial small subunit ribosomal RNA", at positions 28 to 507 of the family's 1533-position model. The record is from RNAcentral.